This 1343-nucleotide ribosomal RNA is filed under the name uncultured bacterium. RNAcentral's name for it is "16S ribosomal RNA". It matches the Rfam family "Bacterial small subunit ribosomal RNA", at positions 28 to 1378 of the family's 1533-position model. The record is from RNAcentral.
GACGAACGCUGGCGGCGUGCUUAACACAUGCAAGUCGAACGGAAAGGCCCUGCUUUUGUGGGGUGCUCGAGUGGCGAACGAGUGAGUAACACGUGAGUAACCUGCCCUUGACUUUGGGAUAACUUCAGGAAACUGGGGCUAAUACCGGAUAGGAGCUCCUGCUGCAUGGUGGGGGUUGGAAAGUUUCGGCGGUUGGGGAUGGACUCGCGGCUUAUCAGCUUGUUGGUGGGGUAGUGGCUUACCAAGGCUUUGACGGGUAGCCGGCCUGAGAGGGUGACCGGCCACAUUGGGACUGAGAUACGGCCCAGACUCCUACGGGAGGCAGCAGUGGGGAAUAUUGCACAAUGGGCGGAAGCCUGAUGCAGCAACGCCGCGUGCGGGAUGACGGCCUUCGGGUUGUAAACCGCUUUCGCCUGUGACGAAGCGUGAGUGACGGUAAUGGGUAAAGAAGCACCGGCUAACUACGUGCCAGCAGCCGCGGUGAUACGUAGGGUGCGAGCGUUGUCCGGAUUUAUUGGGCGUAAAGGGCUCGUAGGUGGUUGAUCGCGUCGGAAGUGUAAUCUUGGGGCUUAACCCUGAGCGUGCUUUCGAUACGGGUUGACUUGAGGAAGGUAGGGGAGAAUGGAAUUCCUGGUGGAGCGGUGGAAUGCGCAGAUAUCAGGAGGAACACCAGUGGCGAAGGCGGUUCUCUGGGCCUUUCCUGACGCUGAGGAGCGAAAGCGUGGGGAGCGAACAGGCUUAGAUACCCUGGUAGUCCACGCUGUAAACGGUGGGUACUAGGUGUGGGGUCCAUUCCACGGGUUCCGUGCCGUAGCUAACGCUUUAAGUACCCCGCCUGGGGAGUACGGCCGCAAGGCUAAAACUCAAAGGAAUUGACGGGGCCCCGCACAAGCGGCGGAGCAUGCGGAUUAAUUCGAUGCAACGCGUAGAACCUUACCUGGGUUUGACAUGGAUCGGGAGUGCUCAGAGAUGGGUGUGCCUCUUUUGGGGUCGGUUCACAGGUGGUGCAUGGCUGUCGUCAGCUCGUGUCGUGAGAUGUUGGGUUAAGUCCCGCAACGAGCGCAACCCUUGUUCACUGUUGCCAGCACGUUAUGGUGGGGACUCAGUGGAGACCGCCGGGGUCAACUCGGAGGAAGGUGGGGAUGACGUCAAGUCAUCAUGCCCCUUAUGUCCAGGGCUUCACGCAUGCUACAAUGGCUGGUACAGAGAGUGGCGAGCCUGUGAGGGUGAGCGAAUCUCGGAAAGCCGGUCUCAGUUCGGAUUGGGGUCUGCAACUCGACCUCAUGAAGUCGGAGUCGCUAGUAAUCGCAGAUCAGCAACGCUGCGGUGAAUAAGUUCCCGGG